Molecule: transfer RNA, 95 nt
Filed under: Peptococcaceae bacterium
Lineage: Bacteria; Bacillati; Bacillota; Clostridia; Eubacteriales; Peptococcaceae
Also listed under: 4 other names
Description: tRNA-Ser
Rfam family: tRNA
About the family: Transfer RNA (tRNA) molecules are approximately 80 nucleotides in length.
Source: RNAcentral
GGAGAGGUGGCCGAGUCCGGUUGAAGGCGCUCGACUCGAAAUCGAGUGUGUUGUUAGCAGCAGCACCGUGGGUUCGAAUCCCACCCUCUCCGCCA